ACACCGCCCGUCGCUACUACCGAUUGAAUGGCUCAGUGAGGCUUUCGGACUGGCCCAGAGAGGUGGGCAACUACCACUCAGGGCCGGAAAGUUAUCCAAACUCGGUCAUUUAGAGGAAGUAAAAGUCGUAACAAGGUCUCCGUUGGUGAACCAGCGGAGGGAUCAUUACUGAGUU
Molecule: ribosomal RNA, 175 nt
Filed under: Colletotrichum truncatum
Lineage: Eukaryota; Fungi; Ascomycota; Sordariomycetes; Glomerellales; Glomerellaceae
Description: partial 18S ribosomal RNA
Rfam family: Eukaryotic small subunit ribosomal RNA
Source: RNAcentral